Chenopodium quinoa (quinoa) is the source of this 2647-nucleotide long non-coding RNA. RefSeq lists it as uncharacterized. Lineage: Eukaryota; Viridiplantae; Streptophyta; Magnoliopsida; Caryophyllales; Amaranthaceae. The transcript has 3 exons. The record is from RefSeq and is a predicted model, not a curated record.
GCCCAACUGAUGAGAGGAGCCCAAUACUUGGCUUUUUAGGGUUUCACCUCUUUCUCUCUAAUCAGUCCCUCACUCCCUCUCCCUCCCCUCCCCUCCCCGUCAUUCACCACUUUCUCUCAUUUCAAACUCAGGCCCUCUCAUUUCAAGGAGCAACGAGAAGACCUUUGUUCUGUAGGUUGUUGUUUUGGUGGUUAACUUGAGAAGCGAUUGCGUUCAUCUUGAGACGAGAAACUUGACCGGCGGCUUCAUACAAGAGCUUCCAAGCGGCUUCGUUUUUUAGCAGAGGUGUCACCGGCGGUAGAAAUCGUGGUGAAGGUCCGUUUGGGCUACCGUUGCUCGAAAACCCACUGCGGUUCGACCACGGUCCGAACCCGGUUAGCUUCAAUUGUGGCAACGUUGAGAACAACCAUGGUUUCUAAAAACAGAAAUCAACAAACAAAUUCAGUUUUUCUUUCUCAAAUCUAUGAGUUGAUUUUGUAGAACGAAUUAGAAGAGAUUAUUAGCAUAUUACCUCGGUGUUAGAGUUUGGGGAGUCCUGGAGAGUAGACUGAGCGAGGUGGCAAGUCAACUCGACUAAGAAAUCGUCGUCGUCUUCAUUGAUAUUAAGCUUCUCGUCAUUGUUGCUGUCACCACGUUCAGUCUCAGUGGAGCUAAUCGGCGAGGCAAGGGACGAGUUAGGGUCAAACCAUUAAUUGGAAGGUCUCCCCCUUCUCUUUGGCUUAAAAUGCAUUUGACUUUCCUUAAAUUAAAUUUAAUUGAUUUUAGGUUCACUUUGUUCUUGGAUUUGUUGCUUGAAUCAACUUAUUUUUUAAAUUUAUCACUUAAAAUCUAAAAUUUGAUUAUGCUUAUGAUAUAUUACACCUGAAUUUAUUUUAAAAUUUAUAUAAUUUUUAUUGUAAUUGCAUGGUAGUUAAUUGUUUAUUGUUGUUUUGAUGAGAAGAGUGUAGCUUAGGAGCUGUUUAUCUAGUAUUUCUAUCUUAGUAUUAUUCUUGCUGCUGGAAAAUUCAAAUUCUGAGAGUUUGCGCAACACAGAUGCAUAUUUUCAUACUAAUGAGGUUGUGAUGUAGUUUAACAUGUUUUGUUUAAUUAUGCAAUGUAGACAUGUAUUGACCAAGAACUCAAACAUCUGUUUCUUUUCGUUCUUUGAAGGUCUCAUAUAUUAGAUGUUUUGGGGGGAUAAUUCGAGUCCUAUAAACACUAAUAUCAAUAAUGUAUAUUUUCCUCUAGUGUUUUGGAAGAUAAUUCAAGCUAGAGAAAUCAGAUAGUAGUUAAUAACUGCUAUUUUAGGUAUGUUUAUACUGAUCUACUACAGAGAAUGAGUGAUUUUUGGAAAAUUGUACUGUAUCAGCUGGUAAUUUUGUGAAAUGCAGAAUAAGUGGUAAAAGAAUGAUGUUGUUCAGUAAUGUUCAGUGUACACUUUAUUUAGGCAAAAUUAUUUAUGCUUGCUCCUUCCUUUAAAAGUGUCUGUUACCAUUUUGUGAAAUCUAGUUACUUAUCUGCAUAUGUUUGCUUCUACAUUCAUUUAAUAUACACAGAUAAUGCCUAUUGUAAAUCAAUUUGUAUUUCAUUAAUCUCAUAUGCAUUAUUGUUUGUGAUCUUAUACUGUAGGUGAGUUAUCUUAUAUGCUCUUUUUAAUUAUUCGUAACGCUUGAUUAAUUUAUGCAUGAGCCGUGGUUGAUGGAAUUAUUGGGAUUUUAUGUGUUUCUGCUACUGACUUUUAUCUUCUCGAGGAGACCUUCUUAUAACUUGCAUGCAAAUUUUAGUUCUGAUGCUGCUUACAGCUAUGGUUAUCCAACUCAGAAAUCCUAACUUAUUAUCAUAACAUUGGUGUUAGGGAGGUGAACAGGAGAUGGACUUGUUGUUUACUAGAGCUAGAAAUCUUCUAUUACUUGAUUGUCUUGUUGUUUCUAAUUGAUCAGAAAAUGCACAAUGAGGCUAAAUCUUGUGCUUCUGCAAGCAUUGCUCGUUUAAAAUCAUUAAAAAGAAGGGUGGUUGGUGUGUUGGCAUCCAAAUAUAUUCUUUCUAUUCAUUGAGCUAUGAGCUCACUAGUGAUCUUGCUGAAAUCUGUGGGUAGGCUCAGAAUUGCUAUUUGCCUUAAUAUCUUGUAUUGAUAUAAGAUUAACCCUAAUGUACAUAGGCAAUCAAGAAAUAUGUUUCAUAAAGUUAUUAAUUUUGUUGUGCUACUUUAGCGCUUUAAUCUAAUUCUUUUAUGCUCCAAUGAACUCCUCACCUUGCAUCGGCUGGCUACAUUGCACCAUGAUGAGCUUGGUCAGGAAACAAUUCUAAACCUUUCUGCUUCGCAAUUACCUCCAUUAAAACUUGUAUGAUCUGAGGUCCAAGGCACCUAGUUUUAGGGCUCAUUCCAAUCAGCAGGUAUUCUCUAUUACUUGUAAUGCUAGUAAUGUCUUUUUAUGAUUUCUUAUUCACCAGUGUAGUAAAGCAAUAUUUACACUAAGAAAUCUGUGAUCCUUUGUCGUUUCACAUUUUGUACCUGCUCUUCUAAUAAUAUGAGAAGUUGAUUUGAUAAUUUUAUCCCAAAUCUGUAAAAGUGAUGUUGGCUAUUGCAAAAGUCAAAAAAUUUAAUCCUAUAUUAAUUGAUAACUUGCUAUUUUAUGCGGUUUUAGGGCGUAUUUGAACCUAGUUUACC